UACGAAGGGGGCUAGCGUUGCUCGGAAUCACUGGGCGUAAAGCGCACGUAGGCGGGUCGUUAAGUCAGGGGUGAAAUCCUGGAGCUCAACUCCAGAACUGCCCUUGAUACUGGCGAUCUCGAGUCCGGGAGAGGUGAGUGGAACUGCGAGUGUAGAGGUGAAAUUCGUAGAUAUUCGCAAGAACACCAGUGGCGAAGGCGGCUCACUGGCCCGGUACUGACGCUGAGGUGCGAAAGCGUGGGGAGCAAACAGG
This 253-nucleotide ribosomal RNA is filed under the name uncultured bacterium. RNAcentral describes it as "partial 16S ribosomal RNA". It matches the Rfam family "Bacterial small subunit ribosomal RNA", at positions 524 to 776 of the family's 1533-position model. The record is from RNAcentral.